Molecule: ribosomal RNA, 377 nt
Filed under: uncultured bacterium
Lineage: Bacteria
Description: bacterial SSU rRNA
Rfam family: Bacterial small subunit ribosomal RNA
Source: RNAcentral
UAAUACAGAGGGUGCGAGCGUUGUCCGGAAUCACUGGGCGUAAAGGGCGCGUAGGUGGCGCUGCAAGUCGGUGGUGAAAGCUCGUCGCUUAACGACGAGUCGGCCAUCGAAACUGCAGGGCUCGAGCACUGUAGGGGCUCAUGGAAUUCCGGGUGUAGCGGUGGAAUGCGUAGAGAUCCGGAAGAACACCAGUGGCGAAGGCGGUGAGCUGGGCAGUUGCUGACACUGAUGCGCGACAGCGUGGGGAGCAAACAGGAUUAGAUACCCUGGUAGUCCACGCCGUAAACGAUGGGCACUAGAUGCUUGGGGGAGCGACCCCCUGAGUGUCGUCGCUAACGCAGUAAGUGCCCCGCCUGGGGAGUACGGCCGCAAGGCUG